UGAUGCCUCAGGUCAAAGGAUUACUUUGCAUUAUCCCAACCAUGAGUUCUCAUGUGACAUGAAUAUGAGAACUUUUCGUUGAUCGUGUUCAGUGAACUCAUUCUCUAUUGAGCACCUACGUACUUGUCUUGAUGUCACACACACCAAUGACUCGAGACUAGUCACUCUCCCUGAGAGAAGAAACAGCACGUACUGAUCUUAACGGACUGUCAAUGCCCAAUUGGUAAUCCUAUGAUCAGGAACGUUUAGGAUGUGUCUACGAAAGAAUGGUCUCAUGAAUCUAACUUCUUUAGAUCGCAUUCUACCAAUCACAUAUUCCUUGGACUUAUCGUUUAAGCAUAUAAAAUUUAUAUGAGACGGCUCAAACAAUAAUCUUUGCCCUUGAUAUUAAACUAGAUUAGUUUAAUAUGUGAAAUGUCCGUAAAGUAUCAUCAUAUGAUUGGUUUUAGGG
Molecule: long non-coding RNA, 451 nt
Filed under: Malus domestica (apple)
Lineage: Eukaryota; Viridiplantae; Streptophyta; Magnoliopsida; Rosales; Rosaceae
Description: long non-coding RNA (MDOM_LNC004777)
Source: RNAcentral